Long non-coding RNA from Rhagoletis zephyria (snowberry fruit fly), 93 nucleotides. RefSeq lists it as uncharacterized. The record is from RefSeq and is a predicted model, not a curated record. NCBI's taxonomy places the organism in Eukaryota, Metazoa, Arthropoda, Insecta, Diptera, Tephritidae.
CAGGUCGUUUCAAAUGGUUAAUCCGCGGGACAUAUGCACAUAGGUACAUAAAUACAUACAUUCACGCACUGUAAGAUCGGUUUCUUUUUUGAG